RNAcentral lists this ribosomal RNA (459 nucleotides) under uncultured bacterium. Its description in RNAcentral is "partial 16S ribosomal RNA". It matches the Rfam family "Bacterial small subunit ribosomal RNA", at positions 338 to 795 of the family's 1533-position model. The record is from RNAcentral.
CCUACGGGAGGCUGCAGUGAGGAAUAUUGGUCAAUGGGCGGGAGCCUGAACCAGCCAAGCCGCGUGAGGGAAGAAGGUACAGCGUAUCGUAAACCUCUUUUGUCAGGGAACAAAGGCGGGGACUAGUCCCCGGAUGAGGGUACCUGAAGAAAACGCAUCGGCUAACUCCGUGCCAGCAGCCGCGGUAAUCCGGAGGAUGCGAGCGUUAUCCGGAUUUAUUGGGUUUAAGGGGUGCGCAGGCGGCCUGUUAAGUCAGCGGGAAAAGCCCGGGGCUCAACCCCGGCGAGCCGUUGAAACUGGCGGGCUGGAGUUGGAGAGAAGUACGCGGAAUGCGCGGUGUAGCGGUGAAAUGCUUAGAUAUCGCGCAGAACCCCGAUUGCGAAGGCAGCGUACCGGCUCCACACUGACGCUGAGGCACGAAAGCGUGGGUAUCGAACAGGAGUAGAUACCCUAGUAGUC